Anas platyrhynchos (mallard) is the source of this 429-nucleotide long non-coding RNA. RefSeq lists it as uncharacterized. NCBI's taxonomy places the organism in Eukaryota, Metazoa, Chordata, Aves, Anseriformes, Anatidae. The record is from RefSeq and is a predicted model, not a curated record.
GUGACUUCUAUGAGAAGAAUCAAGCAGCUGCCCUGUGUUAGAUAACGGCCAGUUUCAGACGGCUCCAAAAGGGGCCCACUGCUGGCCACAGUCAAGUCAGGAAGAGAUGUUGAUUGUACCUCUGUGUGUGCAGCAGCUGCUGGGAGUGCAAGGAGUAAGAAGCAGCCCCCCAGCCCCCCAGCUGCGUGCCAUUGCAAGUUUGGGUUGGAGUGCUGAAAAUGGUUCUGUCCUCAGGGAACUUCGAUGUGGUUCAGCCUCCAGAAGCAAACUGGGAAUAUUUUUGUCCAAACUGCCCAGCAUCCUGGUGUGACAAAGCAAAAUUUUUGGCAUUACUGUGGCUCUUUUUAUGUCUCUUGUACUGAAGAUUUUCCUACAGUUGAUUUGUGCUUUUGGGAGAGCUGAAUAAAUCAGACCUACAGCUUAACAUAA